AUUGAACGCUGGCGGCGUGCCUAACACAUGCAAGUCGAGCGGUAACAGGUGUAGCAAUACAUGCUGACGAGCGGCGGACGGGUGAGUAACGCUUGGGAAUCUGCCUGUUAGUGGGGGACAACCCGGGGAAACUCGGGCUAAUACCGCAUACGCACUACGGUGGAAAGCCGGGGACCGCAAGGCCUGGCGCUAACAGAUGAGCCCAAGUCGGAUUAGCUAGUUGGUAGGUAACGGCCACCAAGGCGACGAUCCGUAACUGGUCUGAGAGGACGACCAGUCACACCGGAACUGAGACACGGUCCGGACUCCUACGGGAGGCAGCAGUGGGGAAUAUUGGACAAUGGGCGAAAGCCUGAUCCAGCGACGCCGCGUGGGUGAAGAA
This 382-nucleotide ribosomal RNA is filed under the name uncultured bacterium. RNAcentral's name for it is "bacterial SSU rRNA". It matches the Rfam family "Bacterial small subunit ribosomal RNA", at positions 29 to 412 of the family's 1533-position model. The record is from RNAcentral.